RNAcentral lists this ribosomal RNA (222 nucleotides) under Streptococcus pyogenes. Its description in RNAcentral is "partial 23S ribosomal RNA". It matches the Rfam family "Bacterial large subunit ribosomal RNA", at positions 2183 to 2404 of the family's 2925-position model. Lineage: Bacteria; Bacillati; Bacillota; Bacilli; Lactobacillales; Streptococcaceae. The record is from RNAcentral.
GAGGCGUUGUUGGGAUACUACCCUUGUGUUAUGGCUACUCUAACCCAGAUAGGUUAUCCCUAUCGGAGACAGUGUCUGACGGGCAGUUUGACUGGGGCGGUCGCCUCCUAAAGAGUAACGGAGGCGCCCAAAGGUUCCCUCAGAUUGGUUGGAAAUCAAUCGCAGAGUGUAAAGGUAUAAGGGAGCUUGACUGCGAGAGCUACAACUCGAGCAGGGACGAAA